This 559-nucleotide ribosomal RNA is filed under the name Pichia manshurica. RNAcentral describes it as "eukaryotic LSU rRNA". It matches the Rfam family "Eukaryotic large subunit ribosomal RNA", at positions 37 to 612 of the family's 3401-position model. Lineage: Eukaryota; Fungi; Ascomycota; Pichiomycetes; Pichiales; Pichiaceae. The record is from RNAcentral.
UGCAUAUCAAUAAGCGGAGGAAAAGAAACCAACAGGGAUUGCCCCAGUAGCGGCGAGUGAAGCGGCAAGAGCUCAGAUUUGAAAUCGUGUUUCGGCACGAGUUGUAGAGUGUAGGCGGGAGUCUCUGUGGAGCGCGGUGUCCAAGUCCCUUGGAACAGGGUGCCUGAGAGGGUGAGAGCCCCGUAGGGUGCUGCGCGAAGCUUUUGAGGCCCUGCUGACGAGUCGAGUUGUUUGGGAAUGCAGCUCCAAGCGGGUGGUAAAUUCCAUCUAAGGCUAAAUAUUGGCGAGAGACCGAUAGCGAACAAGUACUGUGAAGGAAAGAUGAAAAGCACUUUGAAAAGAGAGUGAAACAGCACGUGAAAUUGUUGAAAGGGAAGGGUAUUGGGCUCGACAUGGGGGGUGCGCACCGCUGUCUCUUGUAGGCGGCGCUCUGGGCGCCCUCUGGGCCAGCAUCGGUUCCUGCUGCGGGAGAAGGGGCUCCGGAAAGUGGCUCUUCGGAGUGUUAUAGCCGGGGCCAGAUGCCGCGUGUGGGGACCGAGGACUGCGGCUCUGUCUCGGA